GCACUGUCUUUUCCUGCUGCCUUGUAAAGAAGGUGUCUGCUUCCUUUUCACCUUCUGCCAUGAUUGUAAGUUUCCUGAGACCUCCCCAGCCAUGCGAAACUGACCCCACUGAAAAUCGGACUGUUCAACUCACCUGGCAGCCACUUCCAGAGCCCCUGGAACUCUGGCCCAAGGCUCUCUGACUGACACCUUCCCAGAUCUUCUAGGCUUAGCAGCUGAAGACUGACACUGCCCGAUUGCCUCGGAAGCCUGCAGGACCAUCACAGAUGCUCUGGGUAACUCUCACAGUGGAGGGACCUGGACUAGAGUGAGACCACGUAGGUGCCUAUGGCACAGAAUAUAAGUGAGAUCCAUGUACACAGAUCCACUUACUCAGAGAUGUGUCCAAGGAACCUUAUUUGCCUCACCCUAAUCCUGACCCUUCUCUGGAAUCUGUUCUCAGCCUGCGAUUUGUUUUAACAAAUAGAAUGUGUUGGAAGUGACGCUGUGCUAGUUCUGGGUCUAAGUCUUAUGAAUGCCUGGAAGCCACUAUUUUGUGCUCUUGGGAAUCUUCAGUCUUCUAAGAAGUCCAGUCAUACUACUGUUGAGAGCACAUGGAGAUACAGAGUGGACACUUCAUGUGGAAUGGGAGAAGCUCUGAGACUACAGGAGCAGAGGAAGAUGCCCAGCCUUACUGGCAUCCCAGCGCCCAGACGACCUGCCAGCUGAAUGCAGUCAUAGGAGUGAUCACUGGCAAGACCAGCUGAGCCCAGCUCACAAACUAGAAUCGUGGGCAAAUUAAAUGGUUGUUGUUUAAAGCCACUAAGUUUUAGUGUGUUUGUUAGGUAGCAAUAGGAAACCAGAACAGAGACCAGCCCUGUCUGCUGUGGAUGCUCUGAUGGUUUAAGCAGCUGAUAUAAAUCAUGACAAGAAAUAGCAGAGAAGGGAAUAACAUGAAACACAGCAGCAGGAAGCCUGGAAAUAUCUGUGAGAUUUCCUUGCAGGUUCCUAGAGUCAGGUGGGCUAGAGGUCUGGAUGCUUAAGAGUAGAUGGGGUCAAAGACCAGAAAUAGUGUCUUGUCACAAAGUCACUCUUUAUCACUAAUCAGGUUUGUCCUGGGGGCCACUUAUCUAAUAGUGCUAUAUACAUGCACGUUGGUGUUACAACCACAAAAGAAAAAAAAAUGACAGGUCAGGGAUCUGAUUGAUUGUUCAACAGAGCGCAUUUAUGGUGCUUGGCCUGUGCAAACAGACUUACGAGCAGACAGGCUCAGACCCAUCAGAGAUUGAGCACAAUAGCUAGGAUGCAAAUCUCUCUAUAUGAAAUGUCUCAGCCCAUACAUACAUGGAUAUGGUGCUGAAAGCACUAGGACCCCUGAGCCAACAUAAGCACAACCUAGGCAUCUUGCAAUAUCUAAGCUUUGGGGACUCAGUUCUCCCCUGCUGUGAUUAUAUGCCUGGCUCUAGAAGCAUUGUGCAAAUUAUAGGACCUGGAGAGUCUAAACUGUAAAUGAAUGCAAAUGAAUGUGGCCUCCCAGGAAAUAAAAAUACAGGCUCAUUAUUUUGUUUUUCAGUCCAGAAAAGAACACACUUUGAAAUGGCAGUUUCUGGCAAGAAUAAAAUAAUAUUAAU
This 1610-nucleotide long non-coding RNA is filed under the name Homo sapiens (human). Its description in RNAcentral is "HSALNT0382808". The record is from RNAcentral. Lineage: Eukaryota; Metazoa; Chordata; Mammalia; Primates; Hominidae.